This 1425-nucleotide ribosomal RNA is filed under the name human gut metagenome. RNAcentral describes it as "bacterial LSU rRNA". It matches the Rfam family "Bacterial large subunit ribosomal RNA", at positions 1518 to 2925 of the family's 2925-position model. The record is from RNAcentral.
GUGUAGGGUGGUGCAUAGGCAAAUCCGUGCACUGAAAGCCUGAGGCGUGAUGCGGAGUGAGCAGAGAUGCGAGCGAAGUUGUUGACCCCACACUGUCGAGAAAAGCUUCUAGUGAGAGAGCUACCGCCCGUACCGUAAACCGACACAGGUAUGCGGGGAGAGAAUCCUAAGGUGCGCGGGAGAACCCUCGUUAAGGAACUCGGCAAAAUGUACCCGUAACUUCGGGAUAAGGGUAGCCACUGUUGUGAAGUCCCAUGCGGAUGGAGCAUAGAGUGGUCGCAGAGAAGAGGCCCAAGCGACUGUUUACCAUAAACACAGGUGCCUGCUAAAGCGAAAGCUGACGUAUAGGUGCUGACACCUGCCCAGUGCCGGAAGGUUAAGGAAGGAUGUUCGGAUUAGUCCAAAGCAUUCGACUGAAGCCCCGGUGAACGGCGGCCGUAACUAUAACGGUCCUAAGGUAGCGAAAUUCCUUGUCGGGUAAGUUCCGACCCGCACGAAAGGUGUAACGAUUUGGGCACUGUCUCAACGAGGGACCCGGUGAAAUUGAAAUACCUGUGAAGAUGCAGGUUACCCGCGACUGGACAGAAAGACCCCAUGGAGCUUUACUGUAACCUGACAUUGGGUUUUGAUACAUUACGUACAGGAUAGGUGGGAGGCUUGGAAAGUUGGACGCUAGUCUGACUGGAGCCGACGUUGGGAUACCACCCUUGAUGUAUUGAAAUUCUAACCGCGAGAGUAACGAAAUCCGGGACAGUGUCAGGCGGGCAGUUUGACUGGGGCGGUCGCCUCCGAAAGAGUAACGGAGGCGCCCAAAGGUUCCCUCAGCGCGGCCGGAAAUCGCGCGAAGAGUGUAAAGGCAGAAGGGAGCUUGACUGCGAGUCAAACACGACGAGCAGGUACGAAAGUAGGGCUUAGUGAUCCGGUGGUACCGAGUGGAAGGGCCAUCGCUCAACGGAUAAAAGCUACCCUGGGGAUAACAGGCUAAUCUCUCCCAAGAGUCCAUAUCGACGGGGAGGUUUGGCACCUCGAUGUCGGCUCAUCACAUCCUGGGGCUGAAGUCGGUCCCAAGGGUUGGGCUGUUCGCCCAUUAAAGUGGUACGUGAGCUGGGUUCAGAACGUCGUGAGACAGUUCGGUCCCUAUCCAUCGCGGGCGCAAGAGAUUUGAAGGGGGCUGCUCCUAGUACGAGAGGACCGGAGUGGACGAACCGCUGGUGUACCAAUUAUCCCGCCAGGGGUACAGUUGGGUAGCUACGUUCGGAAAGGAUAAACGCUGAAAGCAUCUAAGCGUGAAACCAGCCUUAAGAUGAGAUCUCUCAUAGAGCAAUCUAGUAAGACACCUUAAAGAAGAUGAGGUUGAUAGGUCGGGAGUGUAAGUACAGCAAUGUAUUGAGCGGACCGAUACUAAUAUGUCGAGGGCUUGACUUA